Molecule: long non-coding RNA, 1126 nt
Filed under: Anas platyrhynchos platyrhynchos (common mallard)
Lineage: Eukaryota; Metazoa; Chordata; Aves; Anseriformes; Anatidae
Description: lncRNA (ENSAPLG00000024249.1)
Source: RNAcentral
AUGUCUCCGGGAAAAUCUCCACGCCUCCACCCACACAGCAGGAUAGUACUGGUGGUUGCUCUCCUCUGUUCAAGAGGUUGCCAAAAAUGUGGAGUGCAAACAUUUUGGGAUAAAAGGUGCAACAGAAAUGUAAUAGACCAUGUAAUUUCUCAAACAGGAGCUUCUGAACUUUUCCCUAAAAACAUGCCCAGAACAUCUUCCAUGGGAGUAGACACACUCUAACAAAUGGCCUUGACUUCAAGCUGCAGAUAAGCUACAGUUCUAAUGUCAUAUGCAGUACAGAAAGUAGCUAUUGCUGCAUUCACAGAACCUAGUUUUGUAGAUAGAUAACUUGCUUUAUUUUCCCUUAACUCUACCAUGGAGCUCCAGGUAAUGCAUGCAGCCCACAAAAUCAAUACACCCUAUUACAAUGCUUGCCUGCUCACUAAAACAUGAACACACAGCUUCAUUCCUAUACUUCAGACGUGUUCUACAUUUAGGAGCCGAAACUGCCAGCAGAAUAAGAACUGAGGAGCAGAAAAUCGUUUGAUCAGUUUUGAGUUCAAGGAGAUGUCACAGCAUACACAGCUUCCAAACUGGAUUACUGUGACACUGACAGUUUCAGAAAUACCCUUCUUUUUCUGUUCACAUGUACAGCAUAACUGGAAGUCAGUCAGUUUCUAUAUAUGUGAUUUUGGACUCGCCUGACAUUCUCAGUCUAUCAAAGAUCUUAUGCCAUAUUUAAGUUCCCUUAAAAAUCACACUGUAUGUGUGCUAAAGCAGUUUUGAAUUGAAUCCCAAUGUAUAUUUUGUAAACUGUUUGAUUGUUUUCUGGAAAUGCAGCAACCUCAGCAAUGAAUGCUGCCGGUGUGCCAAGUACUGAGAGUUACAGAGCAAUUACAAGAGCUAUGAAAAUUUUAAAAUGCUUUUUUGAAGUUCCUAUACUAAUACCUCUCCUUUUACAUGCAACCUAAAAGAGGGCAGAUAAAUCUUUAGUAUUUUCCCUUCUGCAUCUGUUGAAAAACAAAUAUAAAGUUCACUUUUAACAACAAGUCUACUACAAUGGGCUUAGCAGCAGGAGAUGAAGACUGGUAGCUGUUUUAUUUAUAUGCUGUGUAAAUUAAAAUAAAAUAAAAACUAUUUUACA